CGAGGACGAACGCUGGCGGCGUGCUUAACACAUGCAAGUCGAGCGGAAAGGCCCUUUCGGGGGUACUCGAGCGGCGAACGGGUGAGUAACACGUGAGUAAUCUGCCCUUGGCUUUGGGAUAACUACCGGAAACGGUGGCUAAUACCGAAUACGACCACUCCUUGCAUGAGGUGGUGGUGGAAAGUUUUUUCGGCCAGGGAUGUGCUCGCGGCCUAUCAGCUUGUUGGUGGGGUAAUGGCCUACCAAGGCUUCGACGGGUAGCCGGCCUGAGAGGGUGACCGGCCACACUGGGACUGAGACACGGCCCAGACUCCUACGGGAGGCAGCAGUGGGGAAUAUUGGACAAUGGGCGGAAGCCUGAUCCAGCAACGCCGCGUGAGGGAUGACGGCCUUCGGGUUGUAAACCUCUUUCAGUACCGACGAAGCGCCGAUGAUGGUGGUGACGGUAGGUACAGAAGAAGCACCGGCCAACUACGUG
This 478-nucleotide ribosomal RNA is filed under the name uncultured bacterium. Its description in RNAcentral is "bacterial SSU rRNA". It matches the Rfam family "Bacterial small subunit ribosomal RNA", at positions 26 to 507 of the family's 1533-position model. The record is from RNAcentral.